Molecule: ribosomal RNA, 429 nt
Filed under: Chloroflexota bacterium
Lineage: Bacteria; Bacillati; Chloroflexota
Description: Chloroflexi bacterium partial 16S ribosomal RNA
Rfam family: Bacterial small subunit ribosomal RNA
Source: RNAcentral
UGGGGAAUAUUGCACAAUGGGCGCAAGCCUGAUGCAGCCAUGCCGCGUGUGUGAAGAAGGCCUUCGGGUUGUAAAGCACUUUCAGCGGGGAGGAAGGCGUUAAGGUUAAUAACCUUGGCGAUUGACGUUACCCGCAGAAGAAGCACCGGCUAACUCCGUGCCAGCAGCCGCGGUAAUACGGAGGGUGCAAGCGUUAAUCGGAAUUACUGGGCGUAAAGCGCACGCAGGCGGUUUGUUAAGUCAGAUGUGAAAUCCCCGGGCUCAACCUGGGAACUGCAUCUGAAACUGGCAAGCUUGAGUCUCGUAGAGGGGGGUAGAAUUCCAGGUGUAGCGGUGAAAUGCGUAGAGAUCUGGAGGAAUACCGGUGGCGAAGGCGGCCCCCUGGACGAAGACUGACGCUCAGGUGCGAAAGCGUGGGGAGCAAACAGG